Molecule: ribosomal RNA, 466 nt
Filed under: uncultured bacterium
Lineage: Bacteria
Description: partial 16S ribosomal RNA
Rfam family: Bacterial small subunit ribosomal RNA
Source: RNAcentral
GACGAACGCUGGCGGCGUGCUUAACACAUGCAAGUCGAACGGAAAGGCCCAGCUUGCUGGGUACUCGAGUGGCGAACGGGUGAGUAACACGCGGGUGAUCUGCCCUGGACUCUGGGAUAAGCCAGGUAAACUGGGUCUAAUAACGGAUAUGACCUUACAUCGCAUGGAGUGUGGUGGAAAGCAUUUGCGGUUCGGGAUGGGUCCGCGGCGUAUCAGCUCGUUGGUGGGGUAAUGGCCUGCCAAGGCGACGACGGGUAGCCGACCUGAGAGGGUGAUCGGCCACACUGGGACUGCGACACGGCCCAGACGCCUACGGGAGGCAGCAGUGGGGAAUAUUGCACAAUGGGCGCAAGCCUGAUGCAGCGACGCCGCGUGCGGGAUGACGGCCUUCGGGUUGUAAACCUCUUUCUCCAGGGACGAAGCGUGAGUGACGGUACCUGGAGAAGAAGCACCGGCUAACUACGUG